AGAGUUUGAUCCUGGCUCAGAUUGAACGCUAGCGGCAUGCUUUACACAUGCAAGUCGAACGGCAGCGCGGGGCAACCUGGCGGCGAGUGGCGAACGGGUGAGUAAUACAUCGGAACGUGCCCUGUGAUGGGGGAUAACUACGCGAAAGCGUAGCUAAUACCGCAUACGACCCAAGGGUGAAAGUGGGGGAUCGCAAGACCUCACGUCAUAGGAGCGGCCGAUGGCGGAUUAGCUAGUUGGUGGGGUAAAGGCUUACCAAGGCGACGAUCCGUAGCUGGUCUGAGAGGACGACCAGCCACACUGGGACUGAGACACGGCCCAGACUCCUACGGGAGGCAGCAGUGGGGAAUCUUGGACAAUGGGCGCAAGCCUGAUCCAGCAAUGCCGCGUGUGGGAUGAAGGCCUUCGGGUUGUAAACCACUUUUGGCGGGGGCGAAAUAUCGAGUGCUAAUACCAUUCGGUGAUGACGGUACCCGCAGAAUAAGCACCGGCUAACUACGUGCCAGCAGCCGCGGUAAUACGUAGGGUGCAAGCGUUAAUCGGAAUUACUGGGCGUAAAGCGUGCGCAGGCGGUUAGGUAAGACAGAUGUGAAAUUCCCGGGCUCAACCUGGGAACUGCAUUUGUGACUGCCUGACUAGAGUGCGGCAGAGGGAAGUGGAAUUCCGCGUGUAGCAGUGAAAUGCGUAGAU
RNAcentral lists this ribosomal RNA (690 nucleotides) under uncultured bacterium. RNAcentral's name for it is "bacterial SSU rRNA". It matches the Rfam family "Bacterial small subunit ribosomal RNA", at positions 8 to 695 of the family's 1533-position model. The record is from RNAcentral.